GACGAACGCUGGCGGCGUGCCUAAUACAUGCAAGUUGAGCGCUGAAGGCUGGUACUUGUACCCACUGGUUGAGCAGCGAACGGGUGAGUAACGCGUGGGGAAUCUGCCUUUGAGCGGGGGACAACAUUUGGAAACGAAUGCUAAUACCGCAUAAAAACUUUAAACACAAGUUUCAAGUUUGAAAGAUGCAAUUGCAUCACUCAAAGAUGAUCCCGCGUUGUAUUAGCUAGCUGGUGAGGUAAAGGCACACCAAGGCGAUGAUACAUAGCCGACCUGAGAGGGUGAUCGGCCACACUGGGCUUGGAGCACGGCCCAAACCCCUGCGGGAGGGAGCAGGAGGGAAUCUUCGGCGAUGGACGAAAGUCUGACCGAGCAACGCCGCGUGAGUGAAGAAGGUUGUCGGAUCGUAAAACUCUGUUGGUAGAGAAGAACGUUGGUGAGAGUGAAAAGCUCAUCAAAUGACGGUAACUACACAGAAAGGGACGGCUAACUACGUG
RNAcentral lists this ribosomal RNA (497 nucleotides) under uncultured bacterium. RNAcentral's name for it is "partial 16S ribosomal RNA". It matches the Rfam family "Bacterial small subunit ribosomal RNA", at positions 28 to 507 of the family's 1533-position model. The record is from RNAcentral.